UGGUAGUAAUGAAAAAAGUCGGUCUUACUGCUGCAACCAUUUGGUUGGUAGUAGGUCGAUGAAAGUUUAUGAGAUGUAAUUUUUUCCCG
This 89-nucleotide small nucleolar RNA is filed under the name Olea europaea subsp. europaea. Lineage: Eukaryota; Viridiplantae; Streptophyta; Magnoliopsida; Lamiales; Oleaceae. The record is from RNAcentral.